This 468-nucleotide ribosomal RNA is filed under the name uncultured bacterium. Its description in RNAcentral is "partial 16S ribosomal RNA". It matches the Rfam family "Bacterial small subunit ribosomal RNA", at positions 28 to 507 of the family's 1533-position model. The record is from RNAcentral.
GGCGAACGCUGGCGGCGGGCUUAACACAUGCAAGUCGAACGGAAAGGCCCUGCUUUUGUGGGGUGCUCGAGUGGCGAACGGGGGAGUAACACGUGAGUAACCGGCCCUUGACUUUGGGAUAGCUUCAGGAAACGGGGGCUAAUACCGGACAGGAGCUCCUGCUGCAUGGUGGGGGUUGGAAAGUUUCGGCGGUCGGGGAUGGACUGGCGGCUGACGAGCUUGUUGGUGGGGUAGUGGCUGACCAAGGCUUUGACGGGUAGCCGGCAUGAGAGGGUGGCCGGGGACAUUGGGACUGAGAGACGGCGCAGACUCGUACGGGAGGCAGCAGGGGGGAGUAUUGCACAGUGGGCGGGAGCGUGAUGCAGCGACGCCGCGUGCGGGAUGACGGCCUUCGGGUUGUGAACCGCUUUCGCCUGUGACGAAGCGUGAGUGACGGUACUGGGUAAAGAAGCACCGGCUAACUACGUG